This 77-nucleotide transfer RNA is filed under the name Candidatus Nealsoniibacteriota bacterium. RNAcentral describes it as "Candidatus Nealsonbacteria bacterium tRNA-His". It matches the Rfam family "tRNA". From Rfam's summary of the family: Transfer RNA (tRNA) molecules are approximately 80 nucleotides in length. Their secondary structure includes four short double-helical elements and three loops (D, anti-codon, and T loops). The record is from RNAcentral. Lineage: Bacteria; Candidatus Nealsoniibacteriota.
GCGGUCGUGGCUUAAUUGGAAAAAGCACUCGGCUGUGGCCCGAGAGAUUUGCGGGUUCGAGUCCCGUCGACCGCCCA